AAACAGGUCGGCACUAGAUCAUAGACAAGAUACGUACAUAUCUGAAACUGCAAUACAUACGAGUCAGCGGUAUUCCAUCUUUAAAAUUCAAAUAAAUUAGUGCGCGAAAUUGGAAAAAACGCGCGAAACCAAAGCAAUAUGGCCAGUGCUCUCACUUUUAAGGAAUUAUCCUUAAAAAUAGGAAUUUUGAAGAGUUUUAAGGAUUUUUUUAAGGAAUUUAGGUUUUUGAGGAUUUUUUUAAGGAAUUUCCGAAACAUUUUAUCCUGGACGGAGAAUAACCACGCCACGCAAAUGAGAUUUAAACUUGAAACACACUAUAUGCACAUAAUUACAUAUAUUCGUAUGUUCUCUAUGUCGUAUAAAAUCUACAUAUGGCUGUCUUUCCAUUAAAAUUCCCAAAAGUUAAAUGUCAGUGUAUGCUGUUUCUUCUGAAAUCUACAGAUUUUCUAAGUUCUCAGGGCCGUAGCGACCGGGAGGGAGGGUGCAACACCCCUAAUAUUGCUCAUGAACAAUUUCAGGUAGAUUUCCUGUAGAUUUUCAGGUAAAUUCAGGUAAUUCUCAGGGCAUAAAAAAGUGAACUCUAUAAUCUGAAUUAGAGAUAACAAUCAAACAAACUAAAGACGUUGAGACUUGUUGUGGCAGGGGGCAAUUGCGAAAUACCCUUUCUGACGAUCUGGAGACUCCAAAUUUCCGAAAUUUUCUCAAUUUCCCAUUAAAAUUAAACUGAAAGUAGCAAUACUUAUAUUCAUUGUUAGGCAAUACUAGUAAAAUAUUGGGUAGGAAAGACUCUAAAAAUGCCAUUUCCGACGGUCUAGAGACUUCAAAUUUUCAAAAAAUACGGUUUUAAAAAACUUUCAGUUGAAAAAUUCUGAAAAAAACACUUUUUGCAACUAUGUGAUCAGGCCUUGUAGUAAUUUUACCAAUUUAAGGAAUUUUAAGGAAAUCUGAGGAAUUUUCGAGCUUUUUCUAAGGAAUUCGAAAAUUUGAUUGUGAGAGCACUG
Molecule: non-coding RNA, 1001 nt
Organism: Paramuricea clavata
Lineage: Eukaryota; Metazoa; Cnidaria; Anthozoa; Malacalcyonacea; Plexauridae
Source: the annotation of a GenBank genome assembly